UUUAUCUGUAAUGUUCAUACAAUAAUUUUAAUUUAAAUUGUAUAUUAUUAUGAACGAGCUUCUGGUUGGGAAAAUAUACACUCAUGGCAAGUUAUUACAGGUUCUUUCGGUCUCUUUAAAAAUACACCACUAUAUGUCUCUUACAUUGAAGUAUUGUUUAAAAGUUCUCCCCUGCACAUAAUUACUAUUAGUACCCAUGGAUUCUUUCAUUUAUUUGUAUGUUAUAUUCUUGUAGGAUGUUGAUUCAAUGAUAAAAUCCUGUUAAAUAAACCGUAUUAGACUCUUGGAAUUCUUCAUUCUGUUGCUGCAAUCUAAAAAUAAAAUUCAGGGUACAAUUCAGGGUACAAUUUUCGUCAAAUAAUCAUCAAAUACUACGGUAACCUUACCAAUCAGGGUUAUUACUAAGGAAUUUUAAAGAUGAGUCCACAUAUUUCGCAUUUCUGACAUGUGCAAUGGUGAGAUUAAGGAUUUUUUG
RNAcentral lists this long non-coding RNA (475 nucleotides) under Mytilus galloprovincialis (Mediterranean mussel). Lineage: Eukaryota; Metazoa; Mollusca; Bivalvia; Mytilida; Mytilidae. The record is from RNAcentral.